GGAGGAAAGCAGGGGAUCGUAAGACCUUGCGCUUUUGGAGCGGCCGAUGUCUGAUUAGCUUGUUGGUAAGGUAAAAGCUUACCAAGGCUUCGAUCAGUAGCUGGUCUGAGAGGACGACCAGCCACACUGGGACUGAGACACGGCCCAGACUCCUACGGGAGGCAGCAGUGGGGAAUUUUGGACAAUGGGGGCAACCCUGAUCCAGCCAUGCCGCGUGAGUGAAGAAGGCCUUCGGGUUGUAAAGCUCUUUCAGCCGGAACGAAACGGUUACGGUUAAUACCCGUGACUACUGACGGUACCGGAAGAAGAAGCACCGGCUAACUACGUGCCAGCAGCCGCGGUAAUACGUAGGGUGCAAGCGUUAAUCGGAAUUACUGGGCGUAAAGCGUGCGCAGGUGGUUUUGUAAGUCAGAUGUGAAAUCCCCGGGCUUAACCUGGGAACUGCGUUUGAAACUACAAAGCUA
This 464-nucleotide ribosomal RNA is filed under the name uncultured ammonia-oxidizing bacterium. RNAcentral's name for it is "bacterial SSU rRNA". It matches the Rfam family "Bacterial small subunit ribosomal RNA", at positions 198 to 643 of the family's 1533-position model. The record is from RNAcentral.